GAGUUUGAUCCUGGCUCAGAUUGAACGCUGGCGGCAGGCCUAACACAUGCAAGUCGAACGGCAGCACAGAAGAGCUUGCUCUUUGGGUGGCGAGUGGCGGACGGGUGAGUAAUGUCUGGGAAACUGCCCGAUGGAGGGGGAUAACUACUGGAAACGGUAGCUAAUACCGCAUAACGUCGCAAGACCAAAGUGGGGGACCUUCGGGCCUCACACCAUCGGAUGUGCCCAGAUGGGAUUAGCUAGUAGGUGGGGUAAUGGCUCACCUAGGCGACGAUCCCUAGCUGGUCUGAGAGGAUGACCAGCCACACUGGAACUGAGACACGGUCCAGACUCCUACGGGAGGCAGCAGUGGGGAAUAUUGCACAAUGGGCGCAAGCCUGAUGCAGCCAUGCCGCGUGUAUGAAGAAGGCCUUCGGGUUGUAAAGUACUUUCAGCGGGGAGGAAGGCGGUGAGGUUAAUAACCUCGCCGCUUGACGUUACCCGCAGAAGAAGCACCGGCUAACUCCGUGCCAGCAGCCGCGGUAAUACGGAGGGUGCAAGCGUUAAUCGGAAUUACUGGGCGUAAAGCGCACGCAGGCGGUCUGUUAAGUCAGAUGUGAAAUCCCCGGGCUUAACCUGGGAACUGCAUUUGAAACUGGCAGGCUUGAGUCUCGUAGAGGGGGGUAGAAUUUCCAGGUGUAGCGGUGAAAUGCGUAGAGAUCUGGAGGAAUACCGGUGGCGAAGGCGGCCCCUGGACGAAGACUGACGCUCAGGUGCGAAAGCGUGGGGAGCAAACAGGAUUAGAUACCCUGGUAGUCCACGCCGUAAACGAUGUCGACUUGGAGGUUGUGCCCUUGAGGCGUGGCUUCCGGAGCUAACGCGUUAAGUCGACCGCCUGGGGAGUACGGCCGCAAGGUUAAAACUCAAAUGAAUUGACGGGGGCCCGCACAAGCGGUGGAGCAUGUGGUUUAAUUCGAUGCAACGCGAAGAACCUUACCUGGCCUUGACAUCCAGAGAACUUAGCAGAGAUGUUUUGGUGCCUUCGGGAACUCUGAGACAGGUGCUGCAUGGCUGUCGUCAGCUCGUGUUGUGAAAUGUUGGGUUAAGUCCCGCAACGAGCGCAACCCUUAUCCUUUGUUGCCAGCGGUUCGGCCGGGAACUCAAAGGAGACUGCCGGUGAUAAACCGGAGGAAGGUGGGGAUGACGUCAAGUCAUCAUGGCCCUUACGGCCAGGGCUACACACGUGCUACAAUGGCGCAUACAAAGAGAAGCGACCUCGCGAGAGCAAGCGGACCUCAUAAAGUGCGUCGUAGUCCGGAUUGGAGUCUGCAACUCGACUCCAUAAAGUCGGAAUCGCUAGUAAUCGUAGAUCAGAAUGCUACGGUGAAUACGUUCCCGGGCCUUGUACACACCGCCC
RNAcentral lists this ribosomal RNA (1396 nucleotides) under uncultured bacterium. Its description in RNAcentral is "bacterial SSU rRNA". It matches the Rfam family "Bacterial small subunit ribosomal RNA". The record is from RNAcentral.